AACACACAGCAGCUACACAAUUCUGUCUAUAAAAUAUACUUGCUAAUAGUAGAACAUAAAUUUAUUCAAACCCCUAGAUUUAACUAUCAGUUUUCAAGAAAUGCAGAAGAAAAGGAACAUGUUAUCUGGUACCAUGGAAUCCAGGCCACAAAAUCCAAAAGUUAAGACAUUCUAUAAAAUAGAUGACUAAAUUUCUUCCACAAAUAAAUGAUGUGAGAAAAAAAAAAAGGAAGAGGGGCGAUAUUAAGACCAGUAAAAAAUUAAGCUAAUGAACAGAUUAAGAUCUAUUAAUGUUUAAGAGACAUUCUCUCCAAGCGUAAUAUGCGGACUUUGGUUCUUGAUUUGAGCAAAGCAGCCUUUGUAAAAGGCUUUGAGGCAAUCAAGGAAAACUGAAUACUAAUGUUAAGGAAUCACUGAUAAUUUUAAAGUGUAAUAACGGUGGUGUUGUAAUGUUUUAAAGUGAGCUUAGUCUCUAUUAGGAAUACAAACUGAUUAUUUACAAAUAAAAUGAUAAAAUAUCUGAGAUUUGUUUUAAAAUAUUCUGGCUUGGAUGGAAAAUGUGGCUAGGGAGAAAAAAGUGUUUGGGGAGUAUAAAUGAAAUAAGGUUGGCUAUAUUUUAGUAAUGAGUAAGUCUGGAUAAUGAAGACAUGGAGAUUUAUUAUAUUAUUGUAACUACUUUCAGGUAACUGAAGGUUUUCUUAACAGGUAGGCAAAAAGCAUUUAGAAAGUAAAAGCGAGAAGUACAUACUGAGAGACAGUAUGUCUAUAUCCUCACUAUUACUUGCUUUUGAAAAUAAAAUAAAUUCACUAAUAGAAAUAUCCAAUCAUGACGUUUGUAAGAUAUUGACUAUGAAUGUGAGGGGUACCUGAGUCACUCAGUCAGUUAAGCAUCUGACAUUUGCUUUUGGCUCAGGUCAUGAUUUCAUGGGUCCUGGGAUCAAGCCCCACAUUGGGCUCCACGCUCAGUAGGGAUUUUGCUUGAGGAUUCUUUCCCUCCACUACUCAUGCACACUCUCCUCCUCUAUAAUAAAUAAAUCUUCAAAAAUAUAUAUGAAUGUUGUAGGUAAUGGUGUGCUGGUAAAUGACUAUCUGAAGAAGAAAGCCCUGAUGUGUAGUGUUUGCCAGCUGGCAUGGUCUAAAUAUUCCCACCAUGGCAGAUUUCAAGCUACUGAUGUGACCUCACCAAAUGUGGAGUUGGGAAGAGGUGUGCACCCCCAGCUCUCACAAGUCUGUGUGGCCAGCCCUAGCCUGAGACUGAGAAAGCUGACAGGGGAAUGUUAAUUUCUGCAGAUUCUUGGUCAGACCCCAAUUUUAACAGGCACCUUGAUUAGCUUACUUAGUUUUUCUGAGGCUAACUUACCCCUCCGUAAAAUGGAGAUAGUAAUUCCUACUACGUGAAUAUAUAAGGCUUAAAUUAUAUCAUACAUGUAAUGAACCUAGUCUGGUUCUGGUCACACAGUGAGUGAUCCUUCAUGCUAAUAUCCUUUCUUCUCUCCAAGUUAAAAUAGAAAAAAGAACACUGGCUUUGGGAUGGUCUCAAAGUUUCAAAGGAAAGGAAUGAAGCUGAUCAUCUUUUUAGAGGGCUUCCUGCCCAGAAUUUCUAUAAUUACUUAAAAUUGCAGGUUUUAGGGGCUGUCACAAACCUGCCAGAAGCUCACCAAGCUCUAAUUUGGUUGGAUAUUAAUAGGUAGGCUGGGAAGUUAAUGUGAUAUGAUUGUGGCUAGAAUAGAACCAUCUGUUAAAGGUAGUGGUUUCUGUCCAAUGUGAUCUGGCACGGCAAAUACACAGUUAGAAUUAAGUGUUAUCUUAGAGUUGACAUGGAAAAAAAAAA
Mustela erminea (ermine) is the source of this 1831-nucleotide long non-coding RNA. RefSeq lists it as uncharacterized. The transcript is spliced from 3 exons. Lineage: Eukaryota; Metazoa; Chordata; Mammalia; Carnivora; Mustelidae. The record is from RefSeq and is a predicted model, not a curated record.